RNAcentral lists this long non-coding RNA (830 nucleotides) under Astyanax mexicanus (Mexican tetra). Its description in RNAcentral is "lncRNA (ENSAMXG00005006954.1)". The record is from RNAcentral. Lineage: Eukaryota; Metazoa; Chordata; Actinopteri; Characiformes; Acestrorhamphidae.
UAUACAAAUUUUAGGGGUUUUGUAGUAUACAAUUUGUAAUGUUGAGUUUAACAGGAAAAUAUUUUUUUCAGACUUCUCUGGCAGAGUACAUGGAUCAUCUACCUUCUUAUGGAUCAUCUGCUUCAGAACGAGUCAGAAAUGGAAAAUAAACUGCUGACCAUUCUUGUAAGAAACCUAAUAUUCACAUGGAAGAACCUCAACAAAGAGAAAGGAAAGCAGAUGGAGUAUGUGGUGGAACAGGUCACAGGAGCACUCAAUAAAUGCAGCAGGAAUGCCUGCAAUGUGUUCAAGGUUGUCCUGGUCUGUCUGUACUGUGAUAAAGAUUUCACAGAGGACGACACAGCAGAACUACAGUGUGGACACAUGUUCCAUAUGUCCUGCUUAAAGGACAACAAUGACACUAACUGCAGGAAAUGCGAACAGGAAAUAAAUCAAGACUACAAACCAUGUGGAACUGUUGAUAAAGAAACAUUCCAGAAAGUGAACAGAUUUAGAAGGAAAUGUAACUCGUUUUUUGUGGAAUUCAUGUGGAACUUUGUCAGCAGCAAAAAACAACUGACUGACAAAGUAGUGGACAUAUUAAUGGACUAUGUAAAAGGUAUUUCAUCUACUGAAGGUACAGCCGAGCACUCUUCACUGCAGAACUUUAUGAAACCAGACGCUGUCCUACAGUCCUAUGUACUGAAGAUUCUACUAAAAUGCGGAAUGGAAGAAACAGCCUCUCAGUUACAGAGAUUCAUUGAAGAAGUUGUGAAAUCUAAUGAGAGGAAUCCUGAUGAAUUGUACUUCAUCAUUGUGCGCAGCAUUGAGGUUCGUUUCUCACUGACACU